Molecule: ribosomal RNA, 433 nt
Filed under: uncultured bacterium
Lineage: Bacteria
Description: partial 16S ribosomal RNA
Rfam family: Bacterial small subunit ribosomal RNA
Source: RNAcentral
AACGAACGCUGGCGGCAUGCCUAACACAUGCAAGUCGAACGAGACCUUCGGGUCUAGUGGCGCACGGGUGCGUAACGCGUGGGAACCUGCCCUUAGGUUCGGAAUAACUCCCCGAAAGGGGUGCUAAUACCGGAUAAUGUCUUCGGACCAAAGAUUUAUCGCCUUUGGAUGGGCCCGCGUUGGAUUAGCUAGUUGGUAGGGUAAAAGCCUACCAAGGCGACGAUCCAUAGCUGGGCUGAGAGGAUGAUCAGCCACACUGGGACUGAGACACGGCCCAGACUCCUACAGGAGGCAGCAGUGGGGAAUAUUGGACAAUGGGCGGAAGCCUGAUCCAGCAAUGCCGCGUGAGUGAUGAAGGCCUUAGGGUUGUAAAGCUCUUUUACCCGGGAUGAUAAUGACAGUACCGGGAGAAUAAGCUCCGGCUAACUCCGUG